This 460-nucleotide ribosomal RNA is filed under the name uncultured bacterium. RNAcentral's name for it is "partial 16S ribosomal RNA". It matches the Rfam family "Bacterial small subunit ribosomal RNA", at positions 338 to 795 of the family's 1533-position model. The record is from RNAcentral.
CCUACGGGUGGCAGCAGUGAGGAAUAUUGGUCAAUGGACGAGAGUCUGAACCAGCCAAGUAGCGUGAAGGAUGACUGCCCUAUGGGUUGUAAACUUCUUUUAUAUGGGAAUAAAAUGUUCCACGUGUGGGAUUUUGUAUGUACCAUAUGAAUAAGGAUCGGCUAACUCCGUGCCAGCAGCCGCGGUAAUCCGGAGGAUCCGAGCGUUAUCCGGAUUUAUUGGGUUUAAAGGGAGCGUAGGUGGAGUGUUAAGUCAGUUGUGAAAGUUUUCGGCUCAACCGUAAAAUUGCAGUUGAAACUGGCAGUCUUGAGUACAGUAGAGGUGGGCGGAAUUCGUGGUGUAGCGGUGAAAUGCUUAGAUAUCACGAAGAACUCCGAUUGCGAAGGCAGUUCACUGGACUGCAACUGACACUGAGGCUCGAAAGUGUGGGUAUCAAACAGGAUUAGAUACCCGAGUAGUC